AGUGAACGCUGGCGGUAGGCCUAACACAUGCAAGUCGAACGGCAGCACAGUAAGAGCUUGCUCUUACGGGUGGCGAGUGGCGGACGGGUGAGGAAUACAUCGGAAUCUACUUUUUCGUGGGGGAUAACGUAGGGAAACUUACGCUAAUACCGCAUACGACCUACGGGUGAAAGCAGGGGAUCUUCGGACCUUGCGCGAUUGAAUGAGCCGAUGUCGGAUUAGCUAGUUGGCGGGGUAAAGGCCCACCAAGUGGACGAUCCGUAGCUGGUCUGAGAGGAUGAUCAGCCACACUGGAACUGAGACACGGUCCAGACUCCUACGGGAGGCAGCAGUGGGGAAUAUUGGACAAUGGGCGCAAGCCUGAUCCAGCCAUACCGCGUGGGUGAAGAAGGCCUUCGGGUUGUAAAGCCCUUUUGUUGGGAAAGAAAAGCAGCAGGUUAAUACCCCGCUGUUCUGACGGUACCCAAAGAAUAAGCACCGGCUAACUUCGUG
This 492-nucleotide ribosomal RNA is filed under the name uncultured bacterium. Its description in RNAcentral is "partial 16S ribosomal RNA". It matches the Rfam family "Bacterial small subunit ribosomal RNA", at positions 29 to 507 of the family's 1533-position model. The record is from RNAcentral.